This 894-nucleotide long non-coding RNA is filed under the name Heterocephalus glaber (naked mole-rat). RNAcentral describes it as "lncRNA (ENSHGLG00100030232.2)". The record is from RNAcentral. Lineage: Eukaryota; Metazoa; Chordata; Mammalia; Rodentia; Bathyergidae.
CUCAGCAGCAGUUGUGAGGUUGACUCUGGCUUUACUUGCAGGGUCCAGCUUUGCUUUUGCUUUUGGUUGGCUUUAUUAGCAUUGUUUGUUUUCUAAGUGGAGAACUGAAAUACAUUCUAGAAUCCUCUCUUCUCCUUGCAGAAGGGCUGCUGUGACUCUCACCAGAGUUAUGGACAAGACCUGCUUUUGUGUUAUCCCGGGUGGGGACACAGUCAAGUCACACUGUGCUGUGAGCUGUCUUUGUUGAGAGCAGUUUGUGGACUUCAGGGAAGCGACUGGCCUGAGUUUGUACAGGAGGCCAGGCUUUCUCAGAUAGUCCAGGUGUUUCUUUUUGAGGAUCCUGUGGCAGUCUACUGUUCCAGCAUCAGCCCAGCAUGAAAUACAGCAACAACCCAGUCACUCAGGUCCUGGCACUCAACCAUGUACAAAGGCACAGUACCUGAGUCCAGCUACUGAUGGGCAAGACAGGAAAUGGUCAACAGAGCCUGAUGUCCUGCUGGUGAUUCUGCCAUUGGAGCCCAGGGAGAAGCCCUGAGGAAGAGAGCAGAUGCCAGUCUGCAGGAGCAAGCAGGGUAGAGAAGGAAGCAUCUGGUCAGCCAUGGGGAAACAUCCAGUGCACAUCGAGUUUGGAGCAAGGUGAAUUAGAAGUCUGGGAGACAAAGGACCAUCUCCGCAUGACUGAUGACUACUCAGGCUAGUGAUGAAUGGGUCUCUAAACCAAACACAUCAAUACCUGUGGGCGUGAGAAGGACAGGGCCUGCCGCCUGCGACACCGUUAAACCCUCUCCCAAGGACUUCGUGUUGAAACAGGCUCCAUAGUUACAGUGUGAUCCCAGGACAAAGAAAUAAAGGUCAGUGAUUGAAGGCAAUUCUUUACCUUCAAAUUAAGACGUG